This 433-nucleotide ribosomal RNA is filed under the name uncultured bacterium. RNAcentral describes it as "partial 16S ribosomal RNA". It matches the Rfam family "Bacterial small subunit ribosomal RNA", at positions 29 to 507 of the family's 1533-position model. The record is from RNAcentral.
AACGAACGCUGGCGGCAUGCCUAACACAUGCCAGUCGAACGAGACCUUCGGGUCUAGUGGCGCACGGGUGCGUAACGCGUGGGAACCUGCCCUUAGGUUCGGAAUAACUCCCCGAAAGGGGUGCUAAUACCGGAUAAUGUCUUCGGACCAAAGAGUUAUCGCCUUUGGAUGGGCCCGCGUUGGAUUAGCUAGUUGGUAGGGUAAAAGCCUACCAAGGCGACGAUCCAUAGCUGGUCUGAGAGGAUGAUCAGCCACACUGGGACUGAGACACGGCCCAGACUGCUACGGGAGGCAGCAGUGGGGAAUAUUGGACAAUGGGCGAAAGCCUGAUCCAGCAAUGCCGCGUGAGUGAUGAAGGCCUUAGGGUUGUAAAGCUCUUUUACCCGGGAUGAUAAUGACAGUACCGGGAGAAUAAGCUCCGGCUAACUCCGUG